Phyllopteryx taeniolatus (common seadragon) is the source of this 772-nucleotide long non-coding RNA. RefSeq lists it as uncharacterized. The transcript is spliced from 4 exons. The record is from RefSeq and is a predicted model, not a curated record. NCBI's taxonomy places the organism in Eukaryota, Metazoa, Chordata, Actinopteri, Syngnathiformes, Syngnathidae.
GCCUGUGUGGGUUUUCUCCGGGCACUCCGGUUUCCUCCCACAUCCCAAAAACAUGCAUUAAUUGGAGACUCUAAAUUGCCUGUAGGCAUGACUGUGAGUGCGAAUGGUUGUUUGUUUCUAUGUGUCCUGCGAUUGGCUGGCAACCAGUUCAGGGUGUACCCCGCCCCCUGCCCGAUGACAGCUGGGAUAGGCUCCAGCACGCCCGCGACCCUAGUGAGGAGAAGCGGCUCAGAAAAUGGAUGGAUGGAUGGAAAUACAAAAGCAUGGUGGACGACUGGUAAGCACAUCUUUCUCACAGUUUUGACGACGCGGGUUCGAAUCCGGCCUUGCCUGUGUGGAGUUUACAUGUUUUCCCCCGGUUUCCCAAAAACAUGCAUGGGUCGCGGGCUGCUGGAACCUAUCCCAGCUAUCAUCGGGCAGGAGGCGGGGUACACCCUGAGUCAGGUCCCCUGUGAUUGACUGGCAACUGUUUAGGCAAAUGUGCAAAGCCAGUCAACAGCCUGGACGAGACUGGCGAGACACAACGAGAGAAGAUCCUGGGUGAGGCUGCGAUGAUGCGCAGCCAAUCAGCUGACGGGAUAAAUCCACUCGUGCUCUCAUUGGUCGAUGUCGCGCCAGGAACCAAUCAACCAACCUUGUAUGAUUGCCCGUGGCAUGUACAGUACAGUACAGCACAGGCAUGUACAUUGUGACAUUUAUGUUUGGUGGUGUGCUGUGAGAUUCGUCUAACGUAAAAUAUGUGCCUUGGUUCAAUAAAGUUUGGGAAACACUG